RNAcentral lists this ribosomal RNA (465 nucleotides) under Vreelandella stevensii. RNAcentral describes it as "partial 16S ribosomal RNA". It matches the Rfam family "Bacterial small subunit ribosomal RNA", at positions 338 to 795 of the family's 1533-position model. Lineage: Bacteria; Pseudomonadati; Pseudomonadota; Gammaproteobacteria; Oceanospirillales; Halomonadaceae. The record is from RNAcentral.
CCUACGGGGCGCUGCAGUGGGGAAUAUUGGACAAUGGGGGGAACCCUGAUCCAGCCAUGCCGCGUGUGUGAAGAAGGCCCUCGGGUUGUAAAGCACUUUCAGUGAGGAAGAACGCCUGGUGGUUAAUACCCAUCAGGAAAGACAUCACUCACAGAAGAAGCACCGGCUAACUCCGUGCCAGCAGCCGCGGUAAUACGGAGGGUGCGAGCGUUAAUCGGAAUUACUGGGCGUAAAGCGCGCGUAGGUGGCUUGAUAAGCCGGUUGUGAAAGCCCCGGGCUCAACCUGGGAACGGCAUCCGGAACUGUCAAGCUAGAGUGCAGGAGAGGAAGGUAGAAUUCCCGGUGUAGCGGUGAAAUGCGUAGAGAUCGGGAGGAAUACCAGUGGCGAAGGCGGCCUUCUGGACUGACACUGACACUGAGGUGCGAAAGCGUGGGUAGCAAACAGGAUUAGAUACCCCGGUAGUC